GACGAACGCUGGCGGCGUGCUUAACACAUGCAAGUCGAACGGAAAGGCCCUGCUUUUGUGGGGUGCUCGAGUGGCGAACGGGUGAGUAACACGUGAGUAACCUGCCCUUGACUUUGGGAUAACUUCAGGAAACUGGGGCUAAUACCGGAUAGGAGCUCCUGCUGCAUGGUGGGGGUUGGAAAGUUUCGGCGGUUGGGGAUGGACUCGCGGCUUAUCAGCUUGUUGGUGGGGUAGUGGCUUACCAAGGCUUUGAAGGGUAGCCGGCCUGAGAGGGUGACCGGCCACAUUGGGACUGAGGUACGGCCCAGACUCCUACGGGAGGCAGCGGGGGGGAAUAUUGCGCAAUGGGCGGAAGCCUGAUGCAGCAGCGCCGCGUGCGGGAUGACGGCCUUCGGGUUGUAAACCGCUUUCGCCUGUGACGAAGCGUGAUUGACGGUAAUGGGUAAAGAAGCACCGGCUAACUACGUG
RNAcentral lists this ribosomal RNA (468 nucleotides) under uncultured bacterium. Its description in RNAcentral is "partial 16S ribosomal RNA". It matches the Rfam family "Bacterial small subunit ribosomal RNA", at positions 28 to 507 of the family's 1533-position model. The record is from RNAcentral.